This is a long non-coding RNA of Sapajus apella (tufted capuchin), 125 nucleotides long. RefSeq lists it as uncharacterized. The record is from RefSeq and is a predicted model, not a curated record. NCBI's taxonomy places the organism in Eukaryota, Metazoa, Chordata, Mammalia, Primates, Cebidae. The transcript is spliced from 3 exons.
AGUCCAUUCUCAUAUUGUUAUAAAACAAUAACUAAGACUGAGUAAUUUAUAAAGAAAAGAGGUUUAAUUGGCUAGGUUCUGAAGGCUGUACAGAAAGCAUGGGUGGGGAGGCCUCAGGAAACUUA